This 1425-nucleotide ribosomal RNA is filed under the name uncultured organism. Its description in RNAcentral is "16S ribosomal RNA". It matches the Rfam family "Bacterial small subunit ribosomal RNA". The record is from RNAcentral.
UUAACACAUGCAAGUCGAGGGGCAGCAUGGUCUUAGCUUGCUAAGACUGAUGGCGACCGGCGCACGGGUGAGUAACACGUAUCCAACCUGCCGUCUACUCUUGGACAGCCUUCUGAAAGGAAGAUUAAUACAAGAUGGCAUCAUGAGUCCGCAUGUUCACAUGAUUAAAGGUAUUCCGGUAGACGAUGGGGAUGCGUUCCAUUAGAUAGUAGGCGGGGUAACGGCCCACCUAGUCUUCGAUGGAUAGGGGUUCUGAGAGGAAGGUCCCCCACAUUGGAACUGAGACACGGUCCAAACUCCUACGGGAGGCAGCAGUGAGGAAUAUUGGUCAAUGGGCGAGAGCCUGAACCAGCCAAGUAGCGUGAAGGAUGACUGCCCUAUGGGUUGUAAACUUCUUUUAUAAAGGAAUAAAGUCGGGUAUGCAUACCCGUUUGCAUGUACUUUAUGAAUAAGGAUCGGCUAACUCCGUGCCAGCAGCCGCGGUAAUACGGAGGAUCCGAGCGUUAUCCGGAUUUAUUGGGUUUAAAGGGAGCGUAGAUGGAUGUUUAAGUCAGUUGUGAAAGUUUGCGGCUCAACCGUAAAAUUGCAGUUGAUACUGGAUAUCUUGAGUGCAGUUGAGGCAGGCGGAAUUCGUGGUGUAGCGGUGAAAUGCUUAGAUAUCACGAAGGACUCCGAUUGCGAAGGCAGCCUGCUAAGCUGCAACUGACAUUGAGGCUCGAAAGUGUGGGUAUCAAACAGGAUUAGAUACCCUGGUAGUCCACACGGUAAACGAUGAAUACUCGCUGUUUGCGAUAUACUGCAAGCGGCCAAGCGAAAGCGUUAAGUAUUCCACCUGGGGAGUACGCCGGCAACGGUGAAACUCAAAGGAAUUGACGGGGGCCCGCACAAGCGGAGGAACAUGUGGUUUAAUUCGAUGAUACGCGAGGAACCUUACCCGGGCUUAAAUUGCAGAUGAAUUACGGUGAAAGCCGUAAGCCGCAAGGCAUCUGUGAAGGUGCUGCAUGGUUGUCGUCAGCUCGUGCCGUGAGGUGUCGGCUUAAGUGCCAUAACGAGCGCAACCCUUGUUGUCAGUUACUAACAGGUUCCGCUGAGGACUCUGACAAGACUGCCAUCGUAAGAUGUGAGGAAGGUGGGGAUGACGUCAAAUCAGCACGGCCCUUACGUCCGGGGCUACACACGUGUUACAAUGGGGGGUACAGAGGGCCGCUACCACGCGAGUGGAUGCCAAUCCCCAAAACCUCUCUCAGUUCGGACUGGAGUCUGCAACCCGACUCCACGAAGCUGGAUUCGCUAGUAAUCGCGCAUCAGCCACGGCGCGGUGAAUACGUUCCCGGGCCUUGUACACACCGCCCGUCAAGCCAUGGGAGCCGGGGGUACCUGAAGUGCGUAACCGCGAGGAGCGCCCUAGGGUAAAACUGGUGACUG